Molecule: ribosomal RNA, 550 nt
Filed under: uncultured Oxalobacteraceae bacterium
Lineage: Bacteria; Pseudomonadati; Pseudomonadota; Betaproteobacteria; Burkholderiales; Oxalobacteraceae
Description: bacterial SSU rRNA
Rfam family: Bacterial small subunit ribosomal RNA
Source: RNAcentral
GUAACAGGCUGAUGCGAUCCCUUCGGGGUGAACUAGGCGCUGACGAGUGGCGGACGGGUGAGUAAUACAUAGGAAUCUACCCAGUAGUGGGGGAUAACUUGGAGAAAUCCAUGCUAAUACCGCAUAUGUCCUACGGGGCAAAGCAGGGGACCCUCGGGCCUUGCGCUAUUGGAUGAGCCUAUGUCGGAUUAGCUAGUUGGUAGGGUAAAAGCCUACCAAGGCGACGAUCCGUAGCUGGUCUGAGAGGAUGAUCAGCCACACUGGAACUGAGACACGGUCCAGACUCCUACGGGAGGCAGCAGUGGGGAAUAUUGCACAAUGGGCGCAAGCCUGAUGCAGCAAUGCCGCGUGUGUGAAGAAGGCCUGCGGGUUGUAAAGCACUUUUAUUGGGAAAGAAAAACCCGGAGCUAAUACCUCCGGCAUUGACGGUACCCAAAGAAUAAGCACCGGCUAACUCAGUGCCAGCAGCCGCGGUAAUACUGAGGGUGCGAGCGUUAAUCGGAAUUACUGGGCGUAAAGCGAGUGUAGGCGGUUGCCUAAGUCGGAUGUG